RNAcentral lists this ribosomal RNA (502 nucleotides) under uncultured bacterium. RNAcentral's name for it is "partial 16S ribosomal RNA". It matches the Rfam family "Bacterial small subunit ribosomal RNA", at positions 28 to 507 of the family's 1533-position model. The record is from RNAcentral.
GACGAACGCUGGCGGCGUGCCUAAUACAUGCAAGUCGAACGAACCGCGACUAGGUGCUUGCACUUGGUCAAGGUGAGUGGCGAACGGGUGAGUAACACGUGGGUAACCUACCUCAUAGUGGGGGAUAACAGUCGGAAACGACUGCUAAUACCGCAUAGUACAUAGGCUCACAUGAUCCAGUGAGGAAAGGUGGCGCAAGCUAUCGCUAAGAGAUGGACCCGCGGUGCAUUAGCUAGUUGGUAGGGUAAAGGCCUACCAAGGCGAUGAUGCAUAGCCGACCUGAGAGGGUGAUCGGCCACAUUGGGACUGAGACACGGCCCCAACUCCUAAGGGAGGCAGCAGUAGGGAAUCUUCCGGAAUGGACGGAAGUCUGAAGGAGCAACGCCGCGGGAGUGAAGAAGGUCUUCGGAUCGGAAAGAUCUGUUGUUAGAGAAGAACAGAGCAUAGAGUAAAUGUUAUGCGUGUGACGGUAUCUAAACAGAAAGCCACGGCUAACUACGUG